Molecule: transfer RNA, 72 nt
Filed under: Ictidomys tridecemlineatus (thirteen-lined ground squirrel)
Lineage: Eukaryota; Metazoa; Chordata; Mammalia; Rodentia; Sciuridae
Also listed under: 1 other name
Description: Spermophilus tridecemlineatus (thirteen-lined ground squirrel) tRNA
Rfam family: tRNA
About the family: Transfer RNA (tRNA) molecules are approximately 80 nucleotides in length. Their secondary structure includes four short double-helical elements and three loops (D, anti-codon, and T loops).
Source: Rfam by way of RNAcentral
GGGGAUAUAGCUCAGUGGUAGAGUACUUGAUCACCAUGUGCAAGGUCCUGGGUUCAAUCCCCAAUACUGCCA